Molecule: unclassified non-coding RNA, 547 nt
Filed under: Hevea brasiliensis (rubber tree)
Lineage: Eukaryota; Viridiplantae; Streptophyta; Magnoliopsida; Malpighiales; Euphorbiaceae
Source: RNAcentral
UUUUUUUUUUUUCAUCAAUGAUUCAAUGUUGUUCCACCAGCCCAAUCAGAUGGGGUUCCCUAACUGCAAGCGCACCAACCUAACCAACAAUCACUUAAUUACCGAUAGGUUUUUUUUUUUUUUUAAAUAUGCUUUUCGUGUGUGAGAUUUUCCUUCUCUGGAAGAAAAAUGAAAUUAUAAAGCUAAUUUGCUGUUGAUAUGGUUGCGGUAGCGUCUUGGUUGAAGUAUUAGUUUCACGUGGUCUUACCUUUUGAAUUAUGUUUGGUUUUGAGGAAAAGUUUUAGUAUGCCAUGAUUUGAAAACAUUACUAUGUUUGAUUCCCGAGAAAAUCGAGUGAACAAUGGUAGGGAAAAUUAUAAGAGGAUGGAAAUAGAAGAUUUUGUGGCCGAUACUAUUGUUUUAUGUACUUAUUGAAAUUAUUUGUAUUUUGCUGGAUUUUUUUUAUUGGUUUUGCUGUCCUUUAUUUUUUCUUAUUCCAUGUUUAUACAUUAAAUUUUCAUUACUGGCCUCACAAUCUUCAACCUCUUAAUUUUGCAGGUUUAUUUGA